CAGGGAUGUAUACGGCGAGCACUUUUCCACCACAGGAAAGAUAUUCACAAGUCGGAUAAUGCCUGAAAUUACACUUGGAAAUGAUGGGAACCUGUAUAAACACACAAGCUGUGGUUCGUGUUGGAAGGAAAGGUCCCUGCCAGAGGGAAGGUUAAGGUGCGAAGGUCACUGUGGACGGUGGGUCCCUCCUGACAGACUAAUUUGUGCAUAUAAACUAACUGUACCAUGCAAGAGUCAAAACUCGUCAAGACACUUGUUUCCACUGGAAAGAUUCUGUGUCCUGAGUGAGGAACAGCUGUCCACAUACAAGUGACAAGAUACAGAAUGUCCUCUUAGCCAUAGUGCUGACGUCCUCCAAGUGAUCCGAGCUCCAUGGAAGGGCUGAG
This 386-nucleotide long non-coding RNA is filed under the name Microcebus murinus (gray mouse lemur). RNAcentral's name for it is "lncRNA (ENSMICG00000048183.1)". The record is from RNAcentral. Lineage: Eukaryota; Metazoa; Chordata; Mammalia; Primates; Cheirogaleidae.